CACUGAGAGUGGUGCCACAAAAGCGUUAAUGACUUUUAUAAUAUACGGUGAUAUCAUCUUUGUCACGUUCCACUGCUGGAUUAUUGUUUCACACGCGGAGGAAAAAUGAAAAGUUUGUUGACAUGUGGACUUCAAUUCUUUCUAACUGGAAUAAGAAAGUAUGAAUUCUUUCAAUCAAAUAGCAAGCCCCUUCAGCGUUCCCCUCAAUGAAUGCUCUUCUUUUCCCAUCUGUACGUACAGUACAGUUCAGUACUGUAGUGGUUUAGAUGAACUCCAGCGCUUGGCCUCAAGAGGGAGCUAAUCGUCAAAUCACAGAACACCUGAUCCAAGCAGCAGACUGACAGAGUCCUCCCUUUAUAGUCAUCCACCCACGUCAGCCCUCGAUGGGGGUCUGGUCCCCUUCAUCGAGGUGGCAGUAGUGGGGCAGGUUCCUGUUGGACCGCUGUUGUUGUCAUUUAAGACUUCUGUGAAAAAAACUCUGGGAAAAUAUAACUGAUUUUUUCCAAAGAAACAAGGUACAUUAACUGUCGUGUUAAUUGAGAAAAUCAUGGUAGAAUUUGCAUUGAUGAUCCUGUUAAUUCAUAAUAAAGUGCACAUAUUUAUUUUUUAAGUGAAUGCGUAACCUGUACGUGACAUACAGAACAUUUUAUACAAAACAGAAGUCCAUACAUAAAAUAUCUCCCUCUUUCAGACCCCAAUACUGCAAGGGAUUACGGUUUCACACGCGGAGGAAGAUCUGCUGUGUAUCCGAGCUGCGUUCCUUAAAUUAACAGGCACGUCUCUCUACACUGCUCUACAGAAGCAGUACAAAGGAGAUCAUCUCCAGGCUCUGCUGGCCCUCUGUCGAUCUGAAGAUUGAACAAAAGUUGUACACAUUUUAAGUAGAUGAUUAAACUUUUAUUGCAACUUUUCAUA
Molecule: long non-coding RNA, 915 nt
Organism: Gasterosteus aculeatus aculeatus (three-spined stickleback)
Lineage: Eukaryota; Metazoa; Chordata; Actinopteri; Perciformes; Gasterosteidae
Source: RefSeq, a predicted model, not a curated record